CUAACUAUAGUGUAAAAAACACUUAAAGUUUCCAACUUUAUAUUUUUGUUAGUGACU
Molecule: transfer RNA, 57 nt
Filed under: Hexamermis agrotis
Lineage: Eukaryota; Metazoa; Nematoda; Enoplea; Mermithida; Mermithidae
Description: tRNA-Gly
Source: RNAcentral